RNAcentral lists this ribosomal RNA (465 nucleotides) under uncultured bacterium. RNAcentral describes it as "partial 16S ribosomal RNA". It matches the Rfam family "Bacterial small subunit ribosomal RNA", at positions 28 to 507 of the family's 1533-position model. The record is from RNAcentral.
GACGAACGCUGGCGGCGUGCUUAACACAUGCAAGUCGAGCGGAAAGGCGCGGUUGUGGGUACUCUGGUGGCGAACGGGUGCGUAACACGUGAGUAACCUGCCCUUGACUUCGGGAUAGCGUCAGGAAACGGGGGCUGAUACCGGAUCGGGAUCCUUUCUUCAUGGUGAGGGUUGGAAAGCUUCGGCGGUUUUUGAUGUACUCGCUGCUUAUCAGCUUGUUGGUGGGGUAGUUGCUUACCAAAGCGUUGACGGGUAGCCGGCCUGAGAGGGCGACCGGCCACAUUGGCACCGAGAGAAGGCCCAGACACCUAAGCGACGCAGAAGUGGGGAAUAUUGCACAAUGGGCGGAAGGCUGAUGAAGCAACGCCGCGUGUCGGAUGACGGUCUUAGGGUUGUAAACCGAUUUCAGCAGGGGCGAAGCUUGUGGUGACGGUACCUGCAGAAGAAGCACCGGCUAACUACGUG